CGUGGGGUAUGUGAGCAUGCUCACUAAGGUUCUUUAAUUAGUGUAUGUUAUGAUUGUAGGGUGUACAUGUCGGCUUUGCAGGCUUAACCAGACAUUGAUCCAGUCAUGGUAUAUUUGACAAUGUUAAGUUUUUGUGGUUAGGGCUAUUUCUCAAAUUCUAUGAACAAUAAGUCCAUUACAUUUGAUGUUUGUUAGGUGUACAUGUCCAUCUGUCCAUGACCUCAUGUUCAUGGUUCAUUGAACACUAAUUAGUUUUUGUUGUGUGGUCCAUUUCUA
This 276-nucleotide long non-coding RNA is filed under the name Mytilus galloprovincialis (Mediterranean mussel). Lineage: Eukaryota; Metazoa; Mollusca; Bivalvia; Mytilida; Mytilidae. The record is from RNAcentral.